CCAAUUUCACAACCUUCAACCCUUGUUUAGAAAUACAUCUUCCUCAAUUCCUCAAUUCGGAGUUUAGAUGUCACUGCUCUUUGUAUAUUUAAUCAGAGUAUUUACCCAGAAAUCCUAAAAUGAUUAGACCAAUAAAAGCCCUUUUAAAUAAUGAAAUGAAACAAUUAAUGAAUCAGGACAGGCCGAGCAAUGUCUUUGUAGAAAGAACAAGAAGAAAAAUUCAUUAUGCAACUAAUCCUUAGUUGAGGGAUUCUGAUGAACUGGGAGGGGGUGGGUAGUAGGUGUGCGAUGGAGAUGGACUAGGGUGGGGAGUUUGUUUUCAUUUCUAUCUUUUAGUUUUAAAUAAUCUUUUUUAUUUUAAUAUUUUGAAACAUUUAAGUAGAAAUUAUAUUUACGUUUAACAAAUGGCAAGUCUUGAAUGGGAGUUA
This 428-nucleotide long non-coding RNA is filed under the name Malus domestica (apple). Its description in RNAcentral is "long non-coding RNA (MDOM_LNC011380)". The record is from RNAcentral. Lineage: Eukaryota; Viridiplantae; Streptophyta; Magnoliopsida; Rosales; Rosaceae.